GACGAACGCUGGCGGCGUGCCUAAUACAUGCAAGUCGAACGAGAGCGACCGGUGCUUGCACUGGUCAAUCUAGCGGCGAACGGGUGAGUAACACGUGGGUAACCUGCCCAUCAGAGGGGGAUAACAUCCGGAAACGGAUGCUAAAACCGCAUAGGUCUUCGAACCGCAUGGUUUGAUGAGGAAAAGAGGCGCAAGUUUCUGCUGAUGGAUGGACCCGCGUUGCAUUAGCUAGUUGGUAAGGUAACGGCUCACCAAGGCCGUGAUGCAUAGCCGACCUGAGAGGGUGAUCGGCCACAUUGGGACUGAGACACGGCCCAGACUCCUACGGGAGGCAGCAGUAGGGAAUCUUCCGCAAUGGGCGAAAGUCUGACGGAGCAACGCCGCGUGAGUGAUGAAGGUUUUCGGAUCGUAAAACUCUGUUGUUAGAGAAGAACAAGUGCUAGAGUAACUGUUAGCGCCUUGACGGUAUCUAACCAGAAAGCCACGGCUAACUACGUG
This 498-nucleotide ribosomal RNA is filed under the name uncultured bacterium. RNAcentral describes it as "partial 16S ribosomal RNA". It matches the Rfam family "Bacterial small subunit ribosomal RNA", at positions 28 to 507 of the family's 1533-position model. The record is from RNAcentral.